GCUUGUCUCAAAGAUUAAGCCAUGCAUGUCUAAGUAUAAGCAUUAUACAGUGAAACUGCGAAUGGCUCAUUAUAUCAGUUAUAGUUUAUUUGAUAGUCCCUACUAUUUGGAUAACCGUAGUAAUUCUAGAGCUAAUACAUGCGCACACCCCGCGGCAACGCGGGGGUAUUUAUUAGAUACAAUCGACCCCCCCGGGGCUCUGAUGAUUCAUAAUAACUGAGCGAACCGCAUGGCUUUUGCUGGCGGUGGUUCAUUCAAGUUUCUGCCCUAUCAGCUUUCGAUGGUAGGGUAUUGGCCUACCAUGGCGUUAACGGGUAACGGAGAAUUAGGGUUCGAUUCCGGAGAGGGAGCCUGAGAGAUGGCUACCACAUCCAAGGAAGGCAGCAGG
Molecule: ribosomal RNA, 388 nt
Filed under: uncultured Bicosoecida
Lineage: Eukaryota; Bigyra; Bicosoecida
Description: partial small subunit ribosomal RNA
Rfam family: Eukaryotic small subunit ribosomal RNA
Source: RNAcentral